GAGGCAGCACCUCCUCCCGGGCUGGGGCCUGACCCCGCGGGUAACGCCUGUGCGCACCCGGUGCAGCCCGCGGCGUCUGAACAAGACCCACGGGGACAGCGGUGUGUAGAAUUCGGUGCUGUGCACACGGGAGCCACGGAGGAGCGUGUUAAGACCUUAAGUCACAUGACCUUCCUGCCCUGGGUUCAGGGUGGGACUGAGCCCUGGAAAGGAGGCCCGUUCAACUGAAAUGAAGUGCUCAGUAAGUACCUUUGACUUUUCUGAAGGCCACGUGAAAACGUUCAAAGGAACAGGUGAAACUACCCGGCACAGCUCAGCCAUACAGUGCUUUUCUGGCAAAUCGAAGCCCUGGGUUCCAGCCCAGCAAAAACAAGAUAAUUCAGAAAACAAGAGAGAAAGUCACAGGUGAGGUUGGUUGUGAUGUCUUUAAAGCAGUAUAUGUAAAAUGUCAUUGAUGAACUAUGCAAACAGUACAAUGAGGUGUUGCUACUAAUAACAUGUCUUUAUGGUGCUACUCAUUAGGACAGGGCUCAAAGAAAUCUCUGGAGACAGAGUCCCACUCUCAAAAUGCAAAGUUUAUUGACAAGAAUAACUUGCCCGUCUGUCCAGUAGAGUGGCACAACAUAACACAUUUAUUUGAAUAGGGUUUUUGUAACUUUUUAACAAGGAGAAAGAGCAAGCUAGAAAUGACUUUGGGUGCGGGUGGCUGGGUAAUAACAGAUUUUUGUAUUUAGGGACCUUUGGGGGGGGGCGUUAUGGGAACAGGGCAUUUUAAGUUUCUUUUUCUUGGCAUCUUAUGUUAUGGGAACAGGGAAUCUUAAGUUUUUUUCUUGGUAGUUCUGAGGCUCAGAACCAAAAUGAGUUACAAC
RNAcentral lists this long non-coding RNA (869 nucleotides) under Marmota monax (woodchuck). Lineage: Eukaryota; Metazoa; Chordata; Mammalia; Rodentia; Sciuridae. The record is from RNAcentral.